AUUAUUUACAAAAAAAUAUAUGUAUGAAAGAAAUCAAUAAAUAUAAAACAGUGUUGUUAACUAACUAACUAAGUUUGUAUAAUGCAACAGAGGAGUUAAUACUUUGGUUCAAUACUAUUUAAAAUUAUUUAACUGAUUUUUAUAUUCAUUAUGUCUAAAAUAUUAUCUUCUUUAAAGGAGUUAGAUUUUCAGUUAUUUUUUAUAAUAUAUUGUCUACAAUAUUUGUUUUUGUUUUUAAUGUAUUGAUAGUUGAUAACACUGAUUGUUCUGUAAAUAGUGAUGGAUAUAAAAUACUUGAUGUAUUCGAGUAACCACAUUUAUAAAUUAAUAAUAAUAUAUUUUUAAUUUAUAAAAGUAUAACAAAAGUAAAAAUCAACAAUAUAUCAACAAUAUGGAAUGUUGGAAAAUUAUUUAAUUACAACUUAUUUUAAUUUUUAAUAAUUUUGUUUGUAAGUAAAACACGAUUACUUGUGAAGAUUUAUAAAGAAGUACGACUACUUAGUAUUUUGUAAACGUAUUCUCUAUAUUUUUUGUUCAAAAAAGAAGAAGCGCAAAUUAAUGGCUGAAGUGUUAAAAAGUAAAAUUUGAAAUAAAAAAAGAGUUAAAAGUAAAAUUUAAAAUAAAAAAAGAGUUAAAAAACAAUUAUUUAAAAAGUUUAAACAGUGGUUAAAAAUAUCUAUUUAAGUUAUAUCAGGUAAGGAAUCUUUCAUCUUCAAACCAAGCAGACCAGUCCGUUUAUAAUGAGGAUCACGAGUCUACCCAAAAUUUUUCACAACCCCUACGGGAAAAAUUGAGAAUAUGGUUCCUAGAGUUUGGUCCAUCUGUACAGUGCUGCAACUCCCUCUUGAAGAUUUUGAAAUACGAAAAUAUGGAUGUUCCCAUCAGUGUUGGCGGUCUCUUACAGAGAACGGAAAAAUGCCAAACUAAAAAAUUAAAUGUACACUUUCUAAAACUUUAUACCUAUUAUUCAUUUUAACAGUAAUAUGCUAUAAAAUGAACUUAAAAUGUAAAAAAAUAUUGUGAUAAAUUUAUUGAACAGACUGAAUAUGAAAAUUAAAAAUUAAAUAAACAAAUUAUUUAACUACAAAGACUACUAUAAAUACAAAUUAUUACAAGUAGUACUAUAUAUAAAUGCAGGAGUAAAUUAGAUAUAUUAUACAAUUUACAUUCUUCUUCUCAACAAAAAAUGGAUAAAUUUUUGUUAAAUAAAAAAAUAACUUUAAUCUAUUUAAAGCACUGAAAAUAAGCCCAAA
Molecule: long non-coding RNA, 1253 nt
Organism: Lucilia cuprina (Australian sheep blowfly)
Lineage: Eukaryota; Metazoa; Arthropoda; Insecta; Diptera; Calliphoridae
Exons: 2
Source: RefSeq, a predicted model, not a curated record